RNAcentral lists this ribosomal RNA (468 nucleotides) under uncultured bacterium. RNAcentral describes it as "partial 16S ribosomal RNA". It matches the Rfam family "Bacterial small subunit ribosomal RNA", at positions 28 to 507 of the family's 1533-position model. The record is from RNAcentral.
GACGAACGCUGGCGGCGUGCUUAACACAUGCAAGUCGAACGGAAAGGCCCUGCUUUUGUGGGGUGCUCGAGUGGCGAACGGGUGAGUAACACGUGAGUAACCUGCCCUUGACUUUGGGAUAACUUCAGGAAACUGGGGCUAAUACCGGAUAGGAGCUCCUGCUGCAUGGUGGGGGUUGGAAAGUUUCGGCGGUUGGGGCUGGACUCGCGGUUUAUCAGCUUGUUGGUGGGGUAGUGGCUUACCAAGGCUUUGACGGGUAGCCGGCCUGAGAGGGUGACCGGCCACAUUGGGACUAAGAUACGGCCCAGACGCCUACGGGAGGAAGCAGUGGGGAACAUUGCGCAAUGGGCGGAAGCCUGAUGCAGCAACGCCGCGUGCGGGAUGACGGCCUUCGGGUUGUAAACCGCUUUCGCCUGUGACGAAGCGUGAGUGACGGUAAUGGGUAAAGAAGCACCGGCUAACUACGUG